GGAUAGACAACUAGUUGGUCUGAUGGAAAAUUUGGUUUUCAAGGGUAGCCAAUAUGACUG
RNAcentral lists this transfer RNA (60 nucleotides) under Centrorhynchus clitorideus. RNAcentral's name for it is "tRNA-Gln". The record is from RNAcentral. Lineage: Eukaryota; Metazoa; Acanthocephala; Palaeacanthocephala; Polymorphida; Centrorhynchidae.